ACAGGCUUAACACAUGCAAGUCGAGGGGCAGCACAGGUAGCAAUACCGGGUGGCGACCGGCGCACAGGUGAGUAACGCGUAUGCAACUUACCUAUCAGAGGGGGACAACCCGGCGAAAGUCGGACUAAUACCGCAUGAAGCAGGGGCCCCGCAUGGGGAUAUUUGCUAAAGAUUCAUCGCUGAUAGAUAGGCAUGCGUUCCAUUAGGCAGUUGGCGGGGUAACGGCCCACCAAACCGACGAUGGAUAGGGGUUCUGAGAGGAAGGUCCCCCACAUUGGUACUGAGACACGGACCAAACUCCUACGGGAGGCAGCAGUGAGGAAUAUUGGUCAAUGGCCGAGAGGCUGAACCAGCCAAGUCGCGUGAGGGAUGAAGGUUCUAUGGAUCGUAAACCUCUUUUAUAAGGGAAUAAAGUGCGGGACGUGUCCCGUUUUGUAUGUACCUUAUGAAUAAGGAUCGGCUAACUCCGUGCCAGCAGCCGCGGUAAUACGGAGGAUCCGAGCGUUAUCCGGAUUUAUUGGGUUUAAAGGGUGCGUAGGCGGCCUUUUAAGUCAGCGGUGAAAGUCUGUGGCUCAACCAUAGAAUUGCCGUUGAAACUGGGGGGCUUGAGUAUGUUUGAGGCAGGCGGAAUGCGUGGUGUAGCGGUGAAAUGCAUAGAUAUCACGCAGAACCCCGAUUGCGAAGGCAGCCUGCCAAGCCAUUACUGACGCUGAUGCACGAAAGCGUGGGGAUCAAACAGGAUUAGAUACCCUGGUAGUCCACGCAGUAAACGAUGAUCACUAGCUGUUUGCGAUACACUGUAAGCGGCACAGCGAAAGCGUUAAGUGAUCCACCUGGGGAGUACGCCGGCAACGGUGAAACUCAAAGGAAUUGACGGGGGGCCCGCACAAGCGGAGGAACAUGUGGUUUAAUUCGAUGAUACGCGAGGAACCUUACCCGGGUUUGAACGCAUUCGGACCGAGGUGGAAACUCCUUUUCUAGCAAUAGCCGUUUGCGAGGUGCUGCAUGGUUGUCGUCAGCUCGUGCCGUGAGGUGUCGGCUUAAGUGCCAUAACGAGCGCAACCUUUGCCACUAGUUACUAACAGGUAAAGCUGAGGACUCUGGUGGGACUGCCAGCGUAAGCUGCGAGGAAGGCGGGGAUGACGUCAAAUCAGCUCGGCCCUUACAUCCGGGGCGACUCACGUGUUACAAUGGCGUGGACAAAGGGAAGCCUCCUGGCGACAGGGAGCGAAUCCCCUAACCUCGUCUCAGUUCGGAUCGGAGUCUGCAACCCGACUCCGUGAAGCUGGAUUCGCUAGUAAUCGCGCAUCAGCCUUGGCGCGGUGAAUACGUUCC
RNAcentral lists this ribosomal RNA (1335 nucleotides) under uncultured organism. RNAcentral's name for it is "SSU rRNA". It matches the Rfam family "Bacterial small subunit ribosomal RNA", at positions 42 to 1374 of the family's 1533-position model. The record is from RNAcentral.